This 297-nucleotide long non-coding RNA is filed under the name Volvox carteri. Its description in RNAcentral is "long non-coding RNA (VCAR_LNC000858)". Lineage: Eukaryota; Viridiplantae; Chlorophyta; Chlorophyceae; Chlamydomonadales; Volvocaceae. The record is from RNAcentral.
CUGGACCUGGAUCUAUCCCUGGACUUGGAUCUACCCCUGGACUUGGAUCUACCCCUGGACCUGGAUCUAUCCCUGGACUUGGAUCUACCCCUGGACUUGGAUCUACCCCUGGACUUGGAUCUACCCCUGGACUUGGAUCUAUCCCUGGACUUGGAUCUAUCCCUGGACCUGGAUCUAUCCCUGGACCUGGAUCUAUCCCUGGACCUGGAUCUAUCCCUGGACUUGGAUCUAUCCCUGGACUUGGAUCUACCCCUGGACUUGGAUCUACCCCUGGACCUGGAUCUAUCCCUGGACUUG